Molecule: microRNA precursor, 104 nt
Filed under: Xyrichtys novacula (pearly razorfish)
Lineage: Eukaryota; Metazoa; Chordata; Actinopteri; Labriformes; Labridae
Source: RNAcentral
ACCUGGUUAUAUCCUGAGACAUUACCUGGUUAUAACCUGGUUAUAUCUUGCGACAUUACCUGGUUAUAACCUGGUUAUAACCUGGUUAUAUCCUGAGACAUUAC